GAUGAACGCUAGCGGCAGGCCUAAUACAUGCAAGUCGAGGGAGAAUGUUGGAUUCGUCUGACAUGAAACCGGCGCACGGGUGCGUAACACGUAUGCAACCUACCUUUAACUGGGGUAUAGCUCAGAGAAAUCUGAAUUAAUCCCCCAUAAGACUACGACAUGGCAUCAUGAUGUAGUUAAAGCUCCGGCGGUUAAGGAUGGGCAUGCGGUACAUUAGCUAGUUGGUGAGGUAAUGGCUCACCAAGGCUACGAUGUAUAGGGGGUCUGAGAGGAUGAUCCCCCACACUGGUACUGAGACACGGACCAGACUCCUACGGGAGGCAGCAGUAGGGAAUAUUGGUCAAUGGACGCAAGUCUGAACCAGCUAUGCCGCGUGAAGGAUGAAGGCCCUAUGGGCCGUAAACUUCUUUUAUUAGGGAAGAAAAAACGGGAUGCGUCCUGUACUGACGGUACUUAAUGAAUAAGGAUCGGCUAACUUCGUGCCAGCAGCCGCCGUAA
RNAcentral lists this ribosomal RNA (498 nucleotides) under uncultured bacterium. RNAcentral's name for it is "partial 16S ribosomal RNA". It matches the Rfam family "Bacterial small subunit ribosomal RNA", at positions 28 to 523 of the family's 1533-position model. The record is from RNAcentral.